GUAACUAUUAAGUUUUUCUGACGCUGACUGCAAUUACAAUGGGUUUUAAAGGUCCUACUGGCAGGCAAGCCCGCCGAGGAAACAAUGGGUGCGCAAAAACAUGGGUAUAUAUUCAGGCAGGGCGGGGAGGAAAAAGCGUUAAGGCCGCUAAGCCAACACCACAAGGGUGCACUUUCCCAAGGCCGGCCCCCCGAGGAUAUAGUUUAAUGAUCCUUCCGCAGGUUCACCUACGGAAA
This 236-nucleotide unclassified non-coding RNA is filed under the name uncultured fungus. Its description in RNAcentral is "sequence contains ITS1". The record is from RNAcentral. Lineage: Eukaryota; Fungi.